This is an RNA transcript of Panicum virgatum (switchgrass), 934 nucleotides long. It is a transcript of the gene named abscisic stress-ripening protein 5-like, with no coding region annotated. NCBI's taxonomy places the organism in Eukaryota, Viridiplantae, Streptophyta, Magnoliopsida, Poales, Poaceae. The record is from RefSeq and is a predicted model, not a curated record. The transcript is spliced from 3 exons.
CGCUCCGGCCAGGCAUUUGCUGCAACCAAGCUAAGCAUCAUCAACCCCUUAUUAGCUUAUUAUUGGUUGUGGAGGCAACAACCCAACAACAACAAGAACCAAGGCCGCCGAUCGACAUGGCUGACUACUACGGCGGCCGGACCAUGUACUCCAAGACCGACGAGUGCUACGACGCCGGCAGGCACGGCAGCCGGAGGGUGUACUCCCACACCGACGAGUGCUACGACGACGUGGACCGCAGGAGGCCGGGGGCCUACGCCGACGACUGCUACAACGGCGCCGGCUACGGCGGCGCCAGGCAGGCCGCCGUCUACUCCGACGAGUACUCCCGCGGCGGCUACGGCUACGGCGGCGAGCAGGAGCACUUCAAGAGGGAGGAGAGGGAGCACAAGCACAAAGAGCGCCUCGGCGAGAUAGGCGCCCUCGCCGGCGGCGCCUUCGCACUGUACGAGGGUCACCGUGCGAAGAAGGACCCGGAGCACGCGCAGAGGCACAAGAUGGAGGCGGGCGUGGCGACGGCGGCGGCGCUGGGUGCCGGCGGCUACGCGUACCACGAGCACCGCGAGCAGAAGGAGGCCCGCUACGAGGGCAAGGACCACAGCAGGGUGCCGCACGGCUACUACUGCAACUAACUCAUCAUUAUAUUACUAGCUACUUGGAUCGAUCGAGUCAUGCAUGCAUCGACGAGAUGAAUAAUGGACGACCACGAUGACGUACGGGCGUGCAAGUACUAGUAAAUAAGAGCAGAUCAUUAUUAAUAUAAUGCAAUUAUUAAGUUACGCAUAGUAUAGUAUUGUGUAUGAUCAUUAUGGAACAAGUCAUCUCGAUCAGCUCUUUGUUUCUUGUAUCGACUGUUGUCGGUGGAAUUUUUUUUCACUGUUUAAUGUUUACUAGCAAGCAUACAUGUACGUGCAACACGCACAUAUUCUUAAAA